AAGACCUUGCGCUUUUGGAGCGGCCGAUGCCUGAUUAGCUUGUUGGUAAGGUAAAAGCUUACCAAGGCUUCGAUCAGUAGCUGGUCUGAGAGGACGGCCAGCCACACUGGGACUGAGACACGGCCCAGACUCCUACGGGAGGCAGCAGUGGGGAAUUUAGGACAAUGGGGGCAACCCUGAUCCAGCCAUGCCGCGUGAGUGAAGAAGGCCUUCGGGUUGUAAAGCUCUUUCAGCCGGAACGAAACGGUUACGGUUAAUACCCGUGAUUACUGACGGUACCGGAAGAAGAAGCACCGGCUAACUACGUGCCAGCAGCCGCGGUAAUACGUAGGGUGCGAGCGUUAAUCGGAAUUACUGGGCGUAAAGCGUGCGCAGGUGGUUUUGUAAGUCAGAUGUGAAAGCCCCGGGCUCAACCUGGGAACU
Molecule: ribosomal RNA, 423 nt
Filed under: uncultured bacterium
Lineage: Bacteria
Description: bacterial SSU rRNA
Rfam family: Bacterial small subunit ribosomal RNA
Source: RNAcentral